GGUAGAAGGAUGAAAGAUAACUAGUAAGUACCUAUACUUAAAUAUUUAAACUUUUUCAAUCAUAAAUUUUUUUUUGUUUAUGGGGCGGUUUCCCGGACAGGGAUUAGACUAGUCCUAGACUUAAACACUUUUAAGAGCUCUCCAAACUGAAAACAACUUCUUGCACUGACAUGUCUUAAAAUACAUCAGUGCCCUUUGUUUUACCUCAAAUGCACACAGGUAAUGUUUUAAGUAAGGCAUGUUUGUUAAAACUAGUUAUAUUUCCUAAAUUAAACUAAGGCCUAGUCCUGGAUUAAGCUAAUCCUGGUCCGGGAAACCGCCCCUAAAUGUCUAACAAACGUAUAAAGGGAUGCAAACGUUUAUGUGAUUCAUGUGUAAUGUAAUGCGUUAGUUAUAUUGUCCAUGUCAGUGGUGAAGCUACGAGUUGAGUUGUGGCCCACCCAAUCAGAAGGCCAUUUUCCAGACAAAUGUGUAAAUAAUUUAAGAAAAAUAAAUAAAUAAUAGUACUACGAAUAGACGUCUUAUCACACUAUAAUUUCAUAUAUGUAAUAAAAUUAUAAAUAUAAUUAAAAUAUAAAAUUUAAGUGCAAGUUUGCAUGUUCAGGCAGUUUCGCAGAUUUCUUUUACCCUAUAGGUGCACACGCUUGUCAACAUGAAACGUUGAAUAUGAUUCGUCAGUCAUUGUUAGUUCCGCCUACGCGCGAUUGAACUGAAUUUGAAAAUAGCGAGUCGCAAAUCAUCAAGUUUAACAGCCUUUCCACGAUGACAUCUGCUGCUGUCUGUUUACUUUUGGAGACAGAGACUAUUACAUCACUCAUGGAAAUGUUGGAUUACUGAGGACAUCUUUUCAAACGUCAACAAAAUGAAACGAGCACUUACUUUGAUAAUGACUUCAUCCUGUGUUGAAAGACUGUUCUUCACCACAUAUUGUAUAAAAAACAUAUAACGUUACGCUCAUCGAUGAUAAAUGCUCGUCUGAGAAAUGUAUUUCUGCUUUUUUUUGCGCGAAGGGACAUAUUAUGAUCAAAGAUAUUGGACUUUGUUAUUAUGAUCGAGACUUUCUCCAUCUUUAAAGGGCCAUUUCACCGAUAGGAACAUUAAUCUUUAUGGAAAGUGAGUCAUAUUUGUAGUCAAAAUGUAACAUAAAUUUAGAAUUUUGUGCCUAUUUGACAGAGAAAAGACAAAAUGUGACUUUAGAGCACAUUUGUAUGAAAAACUACAACUGCCACUAUGCACCACAAUGCACAGCUCUGCAAGCCACUCCCAUUAAUCGGAACACGGCUCAGACAUGCUAUUAUGUACAUAAAUGCCACGUUAGUAAAACAGAGAAAAUAUAGCCACCACCACUGUGUCUGACUGAAACCAAUCAUGAUUUACUUUUAAACGUGAUGUUACAUUGUGUUACACACAAUAACACUCUGGCCUGGUGUGUAGCAAAGUCUUAUUCAAACAGUAACGUGCAGUUUCAGAUCCGCAUUACAAAUGUCUUUCCAAGUACUUAAAAAAAGGGUAUGCAUUUUAAAUGUUUAUUUAGUUUUACCAAUUUUCUUUUUGUCUCUUGUUUACUGUAAUUACAUUUGUGUUAUUAUUGGCCUCACUGCUCUCACAAUAUAGACAUAUAAAACACCGCUCAGAUAUGCUAUUGUGUACAUAAAUGCCACGUUAGUUUAACAAAGAAAAUAUAAACACUCACUUUAGUCAGACGUCCGUUUAUCCCUGCAUCCUCCACACAAACGCGUCCCCUGCAUAAUAUCUCCACAGACGCGCUGCCUCAGCUCUUGGAGCUUGUGCUCGUAAACCGAAACACGUCUUUGAAAUAAGCACGCGACCAGAAACAUUCACAAAACAAACGUUCAUAUCCUUAUGUGAUCCAGAAAUGUUAAACCGAAAGCAAACAGAGCGAGUCCGUCCAAGCUUAUAUACUCCGCAGCGCGUCUGCUCGUAAACCGAAACAUGUCCAUGAAAUAAACGUUCCAAACGCGCGCAAAGUUCCUUUCUUGCCUAGAAACCUUCACCAAACAAACGUCCAUAUCCUUAUCUGAUGCAGAAAUGUAAUAAAGCAAGCACACAGCGAGAAUACAGGCAGUAGUCUGUCCAAGCAUCUCUACGCAGCAGAGGCCGAUGGUUGCUGCGUCUUCACCGGGCUCCUCUACCCAGCCGACGCCCAGGCUCCGGCUUCUCCUCGGGCUUCUGUUCCUACAUCUGCCUCAGCUCUUUGCAGUAUUGUGGCUCAUAAAGGUGCAAUGAACAGCGGAUUAGAGCAUCACGCUUGUAAAAUCACCCUCUUCCAUGUAAUAUUGAUUAACUUCCACUGUUAUUGUAACAUGAAUUCUGGCUCGCUCCACAACUUCUGUUUAGCUUAGCUUAGCAUAAAGAUGGCGGCUGAUCGUUUUUUUUCGGUCUGUGUUCGUAUAUUUUCGUAAGUCCCACCCACUUAUCUGUAAUUGGUCUGAAGCGUGAGUGGGUCCCACCAAUAGCCCCCACCUUGGAAAAAUGAGGAAUGAGUGUCUGUAGUCUUUCACACUCAAUAGAGAUACAGGAUUUCCUUCUUUCAAUGACGCAAAAUGACGAUUUUUACAUCAUUGAAAGAAGGAAGUGCCUCACUGAAAUCAGUAUUUCUCCCCUCUCAGGGGAAACUGAGGGAAUGGUGCACGACCAUUCAAAAACAUGACUGGGGUUCUAAAGGUACAAAGCUUAAUGCAAAUGGGUAAAGUUUCCCUUUAACCAGAAGUGGCCGUCUCAGACUAAUACAGUAGGACAUGUAACGGUGAGUUUAGACAUUUUCUUAAUGUUUAUAAUUGUGUCAUUAUUAUUUACAGUUUAUAGUCAGGAGUAUUACUCCAGUCAACUAUUUAGGGGGGCAGACUUUGUGUAGUUUCAUAGGUGUCAGGAUCCGUCAGAAUCAUGUCUUUUAUUAUAUCUAGUCUUUGUGUGCGGGGUCCUGCCAGUACCAUGUUCUAUGUGGGAAAUGUGUGGUUUUAGGGGUGUAUUACUCUGACCAAGCAUUUCCCGGGUCUCGUCACUUUUUCCCCGAUCCCUUACUUGUAAUGAUUUCCAGGUGUAUGUAAUUUAUUUUGUCCCUAUUUAAAGUCCUUGUGCUUGAUGUUCUUUGCUUGUGCGUUUGUAUUCUUGUUGUGAGUAUCCUGUGCUGAAUGUAUCAUGUCUAGUUUAUUGUUAUUUAGUAGAGUUUGUUUGUAAGUCAUUCUAGUUUAGUUAGUGUUUUUGUUAUCUUGUAUUUGUGAUGUUUUGCGACCUCGUGGGUUUUGUUUUUCUGUUUUUGUCUCUUUAUUAAAGUCAUCAGUGUUUUUUGUUACAUCCGUCUGCGCUUGGGUUUUUUGUCUUGCCAACCCUGACAAUAGGCUGUAUGAUUUACUGUUGUUGGAAUAUUUACACUUAAAUGACAACACAUGCAAUUUUGUAUUGCGCCAUGUUGUUUGAUGGCCAUUUUCUCAUUAAAUAACAAUCUCUGAAACAAGUUCUUUAGUAAAAUCACUACCUGUUGAAUCUGUCGUAGCCUAUGACGCUUUCACGUCAUGCAUUUUGCGGAUCUACUUUCACGCAACGUAAAUAACGUAAAAACUAAUUCCGUUACUAAUUCAGUGUAUAUUGAGUUCUGUGUUUUCAAGUGGAUUAAUAAUUUGGUGGGGCACUGCCCAUAGACUGUAUAAAACAGGCACAGCCACACCUGCCCAUAUACUGUAGAUAAGCUACUGUUGGUUAUUUAUAAGUUGUUUUAUAAUUUUCCCCUUGAAACAUUUUGCUGCCUGCAUGGCAUCAAGGUAACUUGGCUUAGGUAGCGUGCACACCAAAGCUUUUAAACGAAGCCUGGAGGACGCCGAAUGCCAGCUGUUCUUUCAGCCAAGAGCUUUGUAUGCUGUGAUACUUGAGCUGUGAGCCGGUUGGUUGUUGUGAUAUUUGUCCCGCCCUUCGUCCACUGUGAUUGGAUGGCCGUGUGAGAACUUACAUUGACGAGCUGAGCGUCUCACCCAAAGUUGAAUAUUUUUCGACCACAGCGCGGAACAAACGGACAGCUGCUGGCUGUUUUGAAAAAAAGCUGUGCUUCCAUUGGGAAAAAAGCACUUUGUCGUGCACGCCCCCAGUUUAUGUAUAUUCUGUGCUUUGCCCACCCUGUUUUAUAAAGGCCCACCCACUUGAACAUUUCUGGCUUCGCCACUGGUCCAUGUGACAUAAAUUGAUAUUAAAUUAGCUGUUUUCUAUAAGGUAAAGAAUUACUGUGAUCAUAUUAUAAUGAAGUAAUCGAACUUGGUUAUCUGGUCUUCCUGAUGUUAGAACAUUUAUUUAAAAAAUAAUAUUUAUCUGAAAAUGUAUUUCUGUAAUGUUUAAUUUAAUUUUUUUGUGAAAGUGUAUCAGGUCUGUGUUCAUCAAGACCUGAAGACUCUGGAGUGGGACAAAAGAAGGAUGAUGGGGUGUAUAUUCCAAUAGACACAUUAAGUGAAAGCUGAUAAAUACAGAGGGCUGGACAGUGGUUUCAUUGAUUAGGUAAAGAGGUGGGACAAUGAUGCUGACAGGACAGGAGGAGGUGACAUUCAGACAUGAACGGAGACAUUUUCAUCCAAAGCAACUUGAGGAAGAAAACAGAAGCAGUUCAUCCUAAAAGUGGGCUGCUGUAAUGUUUACAUCUAUGAAAAGAGGAGCUGAGAAGAAAAGAGAGGCUGGAAAGCAGUACUUCUUGUUGAGGACAAUCCUGAAUAUGAACACUUUCUCAUACACCUAGAUUAUUAUUAGUGUUUGAUUUUUUUUUUUCAUUUUUAUUAAUUGUAUUGUUUUAAUUUGACAUUUUAUUUGAAAUUACCAAAGUUAGAUUCAUGCUAAUACUUUAACUGGAACUUGUAUCUUUGCGUGAAGCUGGCUGUAGAGUUGGUUUCAAAUGCACAUGAAGUUUCUAAUUAACUAACUUUUAAGUUCAGUUUGGUUUAAACUUGUAUUUACCCAUGGUAAUUCAUUUAAAUUUCAAUUCAUGCUAAUAUAUUAAUUUCAAUGAAAACUUCUGUAUUUGUGUAUAGCUGGUAAUUUGGGCAAACUACAUUUCACACAUCAAUGUAACUGUCACAAAGGAUUUUUUUUAUUAUCAGUUUGUUCUAAACUUUUGUUUGUUUACUAAGGAUGAAAUUGCUUUGUAAUUUAAGUUGUUGAUGUUAGAUUCAUUCCAAUAAUGUAUUUGAACAAACUAGUAUUUUUGUUUAUUGCUGGCAGUUUAUACUAGAAGAGUUUUAACACAUACAAUGUUGUAGUGUUAUUGACUUGUGUGUUAUUGAUUAAUAAAAAGGCAAACAAUUUGAAAGUAAUUUUUCGUGUGAUUUAUUUAUUAAUAUAAUUUGGGCAAGAUUAGGCUGAGUUAUGGCUCAGUUAUGGAAGUUCUGGUUAAAUGCUGGUUUUAAUAUGGUUGACCUAUGGCUGAGAACUGGUA
Non-coding RNA from Misgurnus anguillicaudatus (oriental weatherfish), 5428 nucleotides. Lineage: Eukaryota; Metazoa; Chordata; Actinopteri; Cypriniformes; Cobitidae. The record is from RefSeq and is a predicted model, not a curated record.